RNAcentral lists this ribosomal RNA (253 nucleotides) under uncultured bacterium. RNAcentral describes it as "partial 16S ribosomal RNA". It matches the Rfam family "Bacterial small subunit ribosomal RNA", at positions 524 to 776 of the family's 1533-position model. The record is from RNAcentral.
UACGGGGGGGGCCAGCGUUGUUCGGAAUUACUGGGCGUAAAGGGCUCGUAGGCGGCCCACUAAGUCGGACGUGAAAUCCCCAGGCUCAACCUGGGAACUGCGUCCGAUACUGGAUGGCUUGAAUCCGGGAGAGGGAUGCAGAAUUCCAGGUGUAGCGGUGAAAUGCGCAGAUAUCAGGAGGAACACCGGUGGCGAAGGCGGGUCUCUGGGCCGAUACUGACGCUGAGGAGCGAAAGCGUGGGGAGCGAACAGG